AAAAAAAUCUUUGUAUAGAUUAUUUUUUUGUGUGAUUUUAUACCACAAAAAUUGGUAGCUGGUUUUGUAUUUUGGUUCAAAUUUUUGUGUCAUUGUAUAUACAAAUUGUAGUGUACAUUUGUAGCAAAAUAGCUAAAUUGAUCCCAUUAAUUUAAAAUUAGAUAAUUAAAAGUUAUAAAUAUAAUUUUGAUUCAUACUGGAUAUAUUUUUGUACAACAAUAACCCAUUCAUGCAAAUUUUGGAACUUUUUCACUUGAGAUUUUUAGUUGUGCAUAAAUGCUGUCCUGAUCUUUUAUUUAUGUGAACUUUGAAAGUUAUUCUUUUGAAAUUUGAACAGUGUUCCUUUGCCCAAAUAUAAAUUUGGUAUGAAUUAUUUCAGUGAUACUUCGCAUCCUGUUUUUAGUUCAGGCCUAAAUAGGAUAUAGUUAUUAUCUCCCCUUCUAACUGAUUGAUAUGUAUUUUCUCCCCUGUUUACUGAUUGAUAUGUCUGCUCUUCAAACCAUCUACACUUUAUAGAUUUAGGAUACCAGUUUUACAAUGAUCUUUUUAUGCUUUUUAAUUGAAAGGUAUCAUGUUUUGGUGGAUAGGUUGCACAAAUGUUCAAUGUGAUAAAUUUCUAUGUGAAUUUGAUCAAAUAGCUAGGUAUCAGUAGGAAAUGACUUUGAGACUUGAAUCGGAUGUGAAACCAUAAUUGGGUAUAAUGACUUAAUUAAUAAAUCUUAAUAAGUUUUUCUUGAGUCUUCUUGAUUAAUUAUGGUUUUAUAUUUGGUCUUAAAUUCCUAGAGUUUAAAUAUACACAGUGUUUUGAAAAUUAGAUACAUUUUACAUUAAAACUGAAGAAAACUAAGACCAAACAUUGCAAAUAAAUAUGUGUGUAUAACAAAUUACGGCUGUUUGAAAUGUUUGACAAAAAUUCUUAAUAUUCAGUGAUAGAAUCAUUUCCAUGUAUUUAAAACUUAAAAAUGUAAAAGACAUUACCAAUAAAAAGGAUGAAUAUUUGUAACAGUUAUAUUCUUUUUUAGUUGAUAAUUGUGUUUUUGCAUCAAUGUUUCACAGAAAAAAUGUAUCAAUGUAUGCUUUGUAUAUAAUUUUGAUGUGUAAAAAACAUUCUGUAAAUUUCAUAUCAGAUGAUACAAACAUGUCCUUAUUUGGGCCUUAAUUGUUCGUUAUAUAAGUCUAUAAUUAUAAUGUAUUGCUGUUUUUUAUGUGCACAUUUUUUUUUUCAUUUAAUUAGUGUGAAUGGUUUGUUGGAAACAAAAUGUUUUGUAAAACGCAAAAGUUAUCAUCAUAAUCUUGACAAAUUACACAUUUUCCUACAUGUAUCAGAUACAAAUGCGGAAAGAAUGUUUUACAGAAAGUAUGAUCCCCAUUUUCAUAAUUGCAUGUAAUUUAUAGACCAUUAUUUACUGUAAAGGAGUACUUAAAAACUGGUGAUAUCUAUGUAGGCUGUUCUUCAUGCAUUUUAUUUAUAACAAAUGAUCUCUUUUGACCAUUAAGUGUUCAGAUACUGUGGAUUCUGUUUUAUUGUCGGGUUUCUAUUUAUGGCGUGAUUUUUAGAACAUUCAGUUUUCAUAAAAUACAUGAUUUUAUUUUUCUUUAGAACUGAAUGGAGAAAUUUUUCAAAAUUGUGAAAUCAUGAAAGUGUGUGAAGUAUUCCUAGAGACAAGAAUUUUUUUUUUUCAAUCGACAAAAAAUUGGUAGCCAUGAUAAUAAACAAAUCCACAGUAGAUAUGAAUUUUGCUUAUUAUUGAAGUAAAUUAAAAUUGUACAAGACUUUUACUUAUUAUGUAAGUAAUUAUGAAUAUAUAGAACAGUACUUAUUACUUAAGUAAAUCUAAAUUAUAUGGAAUUUGACUCAAUAUUUUAGUUAUCUAAAAUUGUAUUUAAAAAAUGUGUAUACAUGAGGAUGUGUUUGAAAAUCAUUGAAAUGCAUCAUGGCAUUCUUAAAAAAAUAUUUAUUCAGAACUUUACUUAUUCUUUAAAUUAAUUUGAAUGAUAAGAGACUUUUUAUGAUAUACAAGUGAAAUUAUUGCCUUUCCUGUUAGGAUAAUCUAUUUGAUGAAUGGUUCUUUAAAGAAUUUAUUUUUUACUAUAGGAAAAAGGUUGAGUUAUUUGUAGCUUGACCCUCACCAAAUUCCUGUCAACCUUGUUAAACAAAUUUUGGGAUCCCCUGAGGGUUUUUUGAUAAUGAUUAUUCUGACGUGGUAAUGACUGGAAGAAAAAAAAUGUACAAUACUAGGUGAAAAUGAAUAUUCUGUUCUAUAAAAUACAGGACAUGGCAAGAACAACUUGUGUUAAAAAAUGUGAAUUUUCACCCAGAUGUAUAUAAUGCCCCUGUAACACAUCCUUCCCUCAGAAAAUCAAAUUGCAGCUCCUUGAAGGCUAAAGAUGAUAAAAACUUAUAUUUUAUUGUUUAAAUGAAUAACAGAAAUGUCACAGUGUAUCCCCAUUCUGUCAGAAUAUAGUGCUGAUUUCCAUGUGUAGUGAGUUUUUUUUAUUUAAAAGGCAGUUGUUUGGUAUCAUGUAUUUAAAUUUGAUUUAUACAAUAUAUGAUUUCAAAUUAAAACAUGCAAAGAGUUAUUGAAAAAUGAUUAUUUUUUGGUUCAUGAAUUAAUUAAACUUUUGUGAAAAAAAACUUUUGUACACAAUUUUUUUUUUUGUAAUCAUUUACCCAUGAAUGUGUGAGUGAAAUCAUGAGUUUUUCCCCCUUUUUUAUCUUGACUUUUGCAUUUUCAUAUCGUCUCAGUGCAUAUUAUAACAUUCAUGUACAUAGAUUGAAUGCUCAACUUUUAUUAUAUGUUAAAGUCAGACUAGUGGGCGGAGCUUAACAGGAGAUGCCAUUUUUCUUAAGCUCAGCCCAAUCAUAUCAUGAAAGCUGUUUGACAGGUUUACCAACCUAACUAUGUAUUUUUGUCCUUAUUGAAAUUCUCAUUACAUUACAAAAGUGGACCAUAUUGAAAUGUAAAGAUAUUGAAUGCAUGUUGAUCGAAUAAAUAGUAAAUAGAA
This 3006-nucleotide long non-coding RNA is filed under the name Mytilus galloprovincialis (Mediterranean mussel). The record is from RNAcentral. Lineage: Eukaryota; Metazoa; Mollusca; Bivalvia; Mytilida; Mytilidae.